This 436-nucleotide unclassified non-coding RNA is filed under the name Bombus terrestris (buff-tailed bumblebee). RNAcentral describes it as "misc RNA ENSBTSG00005029561.1". Lineage: Eukaryota; Metazoa; Arthropoda; Insecta; Hymenoptera; Apidae. The record is from RNAcentral.
CACAGCCCUCUUCAUAGACAUAGAGAAAGCAUUCGAUAAAAUUAACCAUGAAAGUCUACUACAAACAAUUAGGAAACAAUUCCCGGAGCAAAUACACCACUUAAUAAAAUCCUACCUAAGCUGCAGAACCUUCGUAAUAAAAAUCAAGGACACACAUUCUCAAGUUAAAGACAUCAAGGCCGGGGUACCACAAGGAAGCGUCCUAGGCCCAAUACUAUACACAUUAUACACAGCGAACAUACCAACAACUACCAACAGCACAGUAUUGACAUUCGCGGACGACACAGCUAUACUAGUCAGUAUUUUGCUAUUGGUAGUUGUUGGUAUGUUGGCCGUGUAGAAUGCGUAUAGUAUUGGUCCUAAGACGCUUCCUUGCGGAACUCCUGCCUUGAUGUCUUUAACUUCAGAGUAUGUGUCCUUGAUUUUUAUUACGAAG